This is a long non-coding RNA of Hemicordylus capensis (graceful crag lizard), 2028 nucleotides long. RefSeq lists it as uncharacterized. The record is from RefSeq and is a predicted model, not a curated record. The transcript has 14 exons. NCBI's taxonomy places the organism in Eukaryota, Metazoa, Chordata, Lepidosauria, Squamata, Cordylidae.
UCCUUAGAGUUGUUUCCUGCAGCUCUCCCUGCCUUGUUCUCUCAGCCCCACUGGGAUUUGACCAGCCUGGGCCCUUCUCAUCCCCACUGCCCCCCAAAGGGAACAAAAGCCUCAGAGGAGGGGCACCACACCCUUCUCCAGUCUACACAGGGCCACUCAAGUGACCAGUUGGUUCUGCUUUCGUGUUAUCUAUACCUUGCAACUAGUUGGGAUAGUUAGCAGAGACAUCGGGCCAGAGGAAGGAGAGGAUGUUUUCCCCAUCUUCUGUAAGCCAUCCAUGAGAAGGGUGCGCUGUGAACUACUGAGCUGCCCCUGAAAUCUGCCUCCCAACCUGCCUCCCUGCCUGGUUCAUUCUGGUAGACAUUAUUGCAGACAAAGGCAGCAUCUUGACAAGAGGUCUGGAGAAAAGAAUGAGAGAAAACGAUGUUCAUGGCCAUUGAUGGAGGCUGCUGGCUCCAUUCCAAAGUGACACCAUCUUCUACAGUCUGCUCCUGAAGAUACUUGAGAGCCCCAUCCUUCCAACUCCUAGCAGAGUGGCACAGGGACAAUUUCACAGCAGGUGGCCAGCAUGGAUCCUCCCAAACAUGCUUAGAAGGACUCAAGGUGUACAUACUGAGAAGCAUCUGCAUGCAUCAACAUCUGCAUUUGUAUAUCCAAGAAGAUAGAAGAGACUAUUUCUGGUCUCUAACCCAUAGAUGGAAAAAUAUUUCCAUAGAUGGAAAGGCUCCAGCCAUCCAACAUCUGGUGACAAAGGCACCUGAAGAAGGGUCUCCAAAGAAGAUCUUAAAAGGCAAUGUAGUUCCCGGAGACAUACUCUAAUGGAGAGGGAGACACUUUUCUGUGGUGUGUGGCAUCAGCAAUGAAGUUUCACUAGAGAAAGUCUGCACAAGAGGACAACUUUGCACAGCUGUGAAGUCAUCUUGCACUGGUGCAUCUUUGCUUGCUGCACAAGCACUUCAUCAGUCUGGAUGAGAACUUAAUGGUUAUAGACCAUUACUAAUAACGCCUAUAACACGUUCCAGUGUAAUGUGGCAGCCUCUGUAAAAAAUGAGAAGGAAAAACCCAGCACUGCUUUUCUAAGAAGACAGACAAUUGGAUGUUGCAUCAGCAUAAGCUAAAAUUAAAGGUGACAAGAGAAUCUCUCCUGUUCACGGGUCAAUGAUGGACAGUGGUGCUCUGUAGACAGUCCAGAAGGCCUUAAUAUUGUUGUCAUGAACAGAUCAGUAUCUGGUAAAGAUUGGGCUGAGCGUGAACCCAAUACACCUCUGCAGGAUUGAGGGACCAGAUGGGUCAGUCAAUUGACAUGGUUGCAUCAAGACGUCCUCUCCUGACCUGCCGUGUCCAAGGGACUCCCUGAUAAACAGGCAUCUCCGCUAUAUGGGUGAUGAUCCACAUAUGCAGCAGAAUGUGAUAUAGAGUGGACUGUACCACUUCAGAUGGCAGAAAUCUGAACUGCAUGGAGCACAGAUCAUGAGGGCAUGUGAUGGCGUGCUGAAGAGGAGAUUGGAGAUCAUCUGGGGGAAGGUUUCCGCACAGACCAAGGAUUUCAGUUUUCUAGAAGAUUCUAUCCCUUUCAUUGCUCUGCUGCACUGACAAGCAGCCAAUCUUUUAUCUGUGGAUGGUCACAUGAUGAGCACAGACACUGUGCUUCGGCCCCUUGUCAUGUGAGAAGUUCCUGGUGAGCAUGACUUAUCACUAACCAACUCAUGGAUCGUAUCAACCACCCUACGAUGCAACAACGAAUCCAGCUACUUAACUGGAAGAACAUUCCCAUUAGGCUUCAUGGAAAAUUUCCACAAGAGUUGCAAGGUUUGGCUUCUAACUAUUACUUGUCAAGUAAAUAGAGGCUCUGUGAUCUCCCUGCCCUCUUUUGAGGAAAAAAUGCAUAUGGAACUUGUUAAUUUACUUGGAAAUGUAUAAGAGUUUAUCUUUUUUGCCUCAGUGUUUGCUCUCCCAAUGUACCAUUGACAUUCAGUAUAAAUAAACAUUAAACAAACGGAAGAAAAUAAAACAAAAUCUUUCCUCAGA